UACGGAGGAUGCAAGCGUUAUCCGGAAUUAUUGGGCGUAAAGCGUCCGCAGGUGGUUUUACAAGUCUGCUGUCAAAGCGUGGAGCUUAACUCCAUAAAGGCGGUGGAAACUGUGAGACUAGAGUUCGGUAGGGGUUACGGGAAUUCCCAGUGUAGCGGUGAAAUGCGUAGAUAUUGGGAAGAACACCAGCGGCGAAAGCGCGUAACUGGGCCUGAACUGACACUGAGGGACGAAAGCUAGGGGAGCGAAAGGG
RNAcentral lists this ribosomal RNA (253 nucleotides) under uncultured bacterium. RNAcentral describes it as "partial 16S ribosomal RNA". It matches the Rfam family "Bacterial small subunit ribosomal RNA", at positions 524 to 776 of the family's 1533-position model. The record is from RNAcentral.